Molecule: ribosomal RNA, 300 nt
Filed under: Triticum aestivum (bread wheat)
Lineage: Eukaryota; Viridiplantae; Streptophyta; Magnoliopsida; Poales; Poaceae
Description: partial small subunit ribosomal RNA
Source: RNAcentral
AUGGGAUGCCACAAGGUAUUGUUGGAAACUGACUCUGCACAACUGAAGACUGCUGUGACAACUGAAGAUUAUGAUUUGGCGGUUCUAGGAGCUAUAUUCAGAGAUAUAAAAUUUCAGUUGUGUGUAGAUUUCACGGAUGUAUCUGUUGUUUAUUGCCCUCGGGUCUGUAAUUCUGUAGCUCACUGUUUAGCUAAAUAUGGUGCUAAUUUGGGAGCUGGAACCUGUGAGACUUGGCUGGGAUAGCUACCGGACUUUGUACUAAGUGUUGCUGCUGGCGAUUUGCCCAAUGGCACCAUAUAA